GACGAACGCUGGCGGCGUGCCUAAUACAUGCAAGUUGAGCGCUGAAGGUUGGUACUUGUUCCAACUGGAUGAGCAGCGAACGGGUGAGUAACGCGUGGGUAAUCUGCCUUUGAGCGGGGGACAACAUUUGGAAACGAAUGCUAAUACCGCAUAAAAACUUUAAACACAAGUUUUAAGUUUGAAAGAUGCAAUUGCAUUACUCAAAGAUGAUCCCGCGUUGUAUUAGCUAGUUGGUGAGGUAAAGGCUCACCAAGGCGAUGAUACAUAGCCGACCUGAGAGGGUGGGCGGCCACAAUGGGACUGAGAAACGGCCCAAACUCCUACGGGAGGCAGCAGUAGGAAAUCUUCGGCAAUGGACGAAAGUCUGACCGAGCAACGCCGCGUGAGUGAAGAAGGUUUUCGGAUCGUAAAACACCGUUGGUAGAGAAGAACAUUAGUGAGAGUGGAAAGCUCAUCAAGUGACAGUAACUACACAGAAAGGGACGGCUAGCUACGUG
This 497-nucleotide ribosomal RNA is filed under the name uncultured bacterium. RNAcentral describes it as "partial 16S ribosomal RNA". It matches the Rfam family "Bacterial small subunit ribosomal RNA", at positions 28 to 507 of the family's 1533-position model. The record is from RNAcentral.